This 545-nucleotide ribosomal RNA is filed under the name uncultured bacterium. Its description in RNAcentral is "bacterial SSU rRNA". It matches the Rfam family "Bacterial small subunit ribosomal RNA", at positions 358 to 917 of the family's 1533-position model. The record is from RNAcentral.
GGAAUUUUCCGCAAUGGGCGAAAGCCUGACGGAGCAACGCCGCGUGAGGGAUGAAGGCCUCUGGGCUGUAAACCUCUUUUAUCAAGGAAGAAGAUCUGACGGUACUUGAUGAAUAAGCCACGGCUAAUUCCGUGCCAGCAGCCGCGGUAAUACGGGAGUGGCAAGCGUUAUCCGGAAUUAUUGGGCGUAAAGCGUCCGCAGGCGGUCUUUUAAGUCUGUCGUCAAAGCGUGGAGCUUAACUCCAUUUCUGCGAUGGAAACUGGGAGACUAGAGUGUGGUAGGGGCAGAGGGAAUUCCCGGUGUAGCGGUGAAAUGCGUAGAUAUCGGGAAGAACACCAGUGGCGAAGGCGCUCUGCUGGGCCAUAACUGACGCUCAUGGACGAAAGCCAGGGGAGCGAAAGGGAUUAGAUACCCCUGUAGUCCUGGCCGUAAACGAUGAACACUAGGUGUCGGGGGAAUCGACCCCCUCGGUGUCGUAGCCAACGCGUUAAGUGUUCCGCCUGGGGAGUACGCACGCAAGUGUGAAACUCAAAGGAAUUGACGGA